Molecule: ribosomal RNA, 1379 nt
Filed under: uncultured bacterium
Lineage: Bacteria
Description: bacterial SSU rRNA
Rfam family: Bacterial small subunit ribosomal RNA
Source: RNAcentral
CCUGGCUCAGGAUGAACGCUAGCGACAGGCUUAACACAUGCAAGUCGAGGGGCAGCACAGGUAGCAAUACCGGGUGGCGACCGGCGCACGGGUGAGUAACGCGUAUGCAACUUGCCUAUCAGAGGGGGAUAACCCGGCGAAAGUCGGACUAAUACCGCAUGAAGCAGGGGCCCCGCAUGGGGAUAUUUGCUAAAGAUUCAUCGCUGAUAGAUAGGCAUGCGUUCCAUUAGGCAGUUGGCGGGGUAACGGCCCACCAAACCGACGAUGGAUAGGGGUUCUGAGAGGAAGGUCCCCCACAUUGGUACUGAGACACGGACCAAACUCCUACGGGAGGCAGCAGUGAGGAAUAUUGGUCAAUGGGCGUAAGCCUGAACCAGCCAAGUCGCGUGAGGGAUGAAGGUUCUAUGGAUCGUAAACCUCUUUUAUAAGGGAAUAAAGUGCGGGACGUGUCCCGUUUUGUAUGUACCUUAUGAAUAAGGAUCGGCUAACUCCGUGCCAGCAGCCGCGGUAAUACGGAGGAUCCGAGCGUUAUCCGGAUUUAUUGGGUUUAAAGGGUGCGUAGGCGGCCUUUUAAGUCAGCGGUGAAAGUCUGUGGCUCAACCAUAGAAUUGCCGUUGAAACUGGGGGGCUUGAGUAUGUUUGAGGCAGGCGGAAUGCGUGGUGUAGCGGUGAAAUGCUUAGAUAUCACGCAGAACCCCGAUUGCGAAGGCAGCCUGCCAAGCCAUGACUGACGCUGAUGCACGAAAGCGUGGGGAUCAAACAGGAUUAGAUACCCUGGUAGUCCACGCAGUAAACGAUGAUCACUAGCUGUUUGCGAUACACUGUAAGCGGCACAGCGAAAGCGUUAAGUGAUCCACCUGGGGAGUACGCCGGCAACGGUGAAACUCAAAGGAAUUGACGGGGGCCCGCACAAGCGGAGGAACAUGUGGUUUAAUUCGAUGAUACGCGAGGAACCUUACCCGGGUUUGAACGCAUUCGGACCGAGGUGGAAACACCUUUUCUAGCAAUAGCCGUUUGCGAGGUGCUGCAUGGUUGUCGUCAGCUCGUGCCGUGAGGUGUCGGCUUAAGUGCCAUAACGAGCGCAACCCUUGCCACUAGUUACUAACAGGUUAGGCUGAGGACUCUGGUGGGACUGCCAGCGUAAGCUGCGAGGAAGGCGGGGAUGACGUCAAAUCAGCACGGCCCUUACAUCCGGGGCGACACACGUGUUACAAUGGCGUGGACAAAGGGAAGCCACCUGGCGACAGGGAGCGAAUCCCCAAACCACGUCUCAGUUCGGAUCGGAGUCUGCAACCCGACUCCGUGAAGCUGGAUUCGCUAGUAAUCGCGCAUCAGCCAUGGCGCGGUGAAUACGUUCCCGGGCCUUGUACACACCGCCC